UCGAGAAUUUUUCUCAAUGGGCGAAAGCUUGAAGGAGCGACGCCGCGUGGGGGAUGAAGGGCUUCGGCCUGUAAACCCCUGUCAUUUGCGAACAAACCUUUUCAUUGAACAGGUGAAAAGUUGAUAGUAGCGAAAGAGGAAGGGACGGCUAACUCUGUGCCAGCAGCCGCGGUAAUACAGAGGUCCCAAGCGUUGUUCGGAUUCACUGGGCGUAAAGGGUGCGUAGGUGGUCGGAUAAGUUCGAUGUGAAAUCUCCGGGCUUAACUCGGAAACGGCAUUGGAUACUAUUCGGCUAGAGGGUCGGAGGGGAGACUGGAAUUCUCGGUGUAGCAGUGAAAUGCGUAGAUAUCGAGAGGAACACCAGUGGCGAAGGCGAGUCUCUGGACGACUCCUGACACUGAGGCACGAAAGCUAGGGGAGCAAACAGG
Molecule: ribosomal RNA, 428 nt
Filed under: uncultured bacterium
Lineage: Bacteria
Description: bacterial SSU rRNA
Rfam family: Bacterial small subunit ribosomal RNA
Source: RNAcentral